Molecule: ribosomal RNA, 1485 nt
Filed under: uncultured bacterium
Lineage: Bacteria
Description: bacterial SSU rRNA
Rfam family: Bacterial small subunit ribosomal RNA
Source: RNAcentral
AGAGUUUGAUCCUGGCUCAGGAUGAACGCUAGCGGGAGGCUUAACACAUGCAAGUCGAGGGGCAGCAUUUCUAGCUUGCUAGAAGAUGGCGACCGGCGGACGGGUGCGUAACGCGUAUGCAACUUGCCUAUAACUUAGGGAUAACUUGGAGAAAUCCUUGCUAAUAUCUAAUGUGAUCAAAAAUUCGCAUGUUUUUUUGAUUAAAGAAUUUCGGUUAUAGAUAGGCAUGCGUCCUAUUAGCUAGUUGGUAAGGUAAAGGCUUACCAAGGCGACGAUAGGUAGGGGGCCUGAGAGGGUGAUCCCCCACACUGGUACUGAGACACGGACCAGACUCCUACGGGAGGCAGCAGUGAGGAAUAUUGGUCAAUGGAGGCAACUCUGAACCAGCCAUCCCGCGUGAAGGAUUGAAGGCGCUCGACGUCGUAAACUUCUUUUAUAUAGGAAUAAACUUAGGUACGUGUACUUAAUUGAAUGUACUAUAUGAAUAAGCAUCGGCUAACUCCGUGCCAGCAGCCGCGGUAAUACGGAGGGUGCAAGCGUUAUCCGGAUUUAUUAGGUUUAAAGGGUUCGCAGGCGGAAUUUUAAGUCAGUGGUGAAAGCCUAUAGCUCAACUAUAGAACUGCCAUUGAUACUGAUAUUCUUGAGUAUAGAUGAAGUGGGCGGAAUAUGUCAUGUAGCGGUGAAAUGCAUAGAUAUGACAUGGAACACCAAUUGCGAAGGCAGCUCACUAAACUAUUACUGACGCUCAUGAACGAAAGCGUGGGGAGCGAACAGGAUUAGAUACCCUGGUAGUCCACGCCGUAAACUAUGAUCACUAGAUGUUGGCGAUAUAUUGUCAGUGUUUUAGAGAAAUCGUUAAGUGAUCCACCUGGGGAGUACGUUCGCAAGAAUGAAACUCAAAGGAAUUGACGGGGGCCCGCACAAGCGGAGGAGCAUGUGGUUUAAUUCGAUGAUACGCGAGGAACCUUACCAAGACUUAAAUGUAUUUUGCUAGAUUGAGAAAUCAAUUUUUCUUCGGACAAUUUACAAGGUGCUGCAUGGUUGUCGUCAGCUCGUGCCGUGAGGUGUCGGGUUAAGUCCCAUAACGAGCGCAACCCCUAUUUCUAGUUACCAGCGAGUAAUGUCGGGAACUCUAGAGAGACUGCCUGUGUAAACAGUGAGGAAGGUGGGGAUGAUGUCAAAUCAUCACGGCCCUUAUGUCUUGGGCUACACACGUGCUACAAUGGUCACUACAGUGGGCUGCCAUCUGGUGACAGAGAGCAAAUCCAUAAAGGUGAUCCCAGUUCGGAUCGGAGUCUGCAACUCGACUCUGUGAAGUUGGAUUCGCUAGUAAUCGUAUAUCAGCAAUGAUACGGUGAAUACGUUCCCGGGCCUUGUACACACCGCCCGUCAAGCCAUGGAAGUUUGUAGUGCCUGAAGUCAGUAACCGCAAGGAUCUGCCUAGGGUAAGACAGAUAACUAGGGCUAAGUCGUAACAAGGUAACC